This 391-nucleotide ribosomal RNA is filed under the name uncultured bacterium. RNAcentral's name for it is "bacterial SSU rRNA". It matches the Rfam family "Bacterial small subunit ribosomal RNA", at positions 28 to 420 of the family's 1533-position model. The record is from RNAcentral.
GACGAACGCUGGCGGCGUGCUUAACACAUGCAAGUCGAGCGGUAAGGCCCUUUCGGGGGUACACGAGCGGCGAACGGGUGAGUAACACGUGGGUGACCUGCCCUCAGCUCUGGGAUAAGCCUGGGAAACUGGGUCUAAUACUGGAUAUGACUCCACGGUGCAUGUCGUGGGGUGGAAAGCCUUGUGCGGCUGAGGAUGGGCCCGCGGCCUAUCAGCUUGUUGGUGGGGUGANGGCCUACCAAGGCGACGACGGGUAGCCGGCCUGAGAGGGCGACCAGCCACACUGGGACUGAGACACGGCCCAGACUCCUACGGGAGGCAGCAGUGGGGAAUCUUGCGCAAUGGGCGAAAGCCUGACGCAGCGACGCCGCGUGAGGGAUGACGGCCUGGU